AACGCACGAGACCUGCGGACCUGCGGAAGGAUCAUUAAUGAAUGCUUUUGGGGAAGUUCUGUUGCUGGCUGUAAAAGGCAUGUGCACGUUCUUCUCUGAAUCCCUCUUCAUCCACCUGUGCACUUUUGUAUAGGAGUUUCUUUAUUCGAGCUUCAUGCGGGACUUUGUAAAAAAAAGCUCAAGCCUCUGAAACUUUUUGAAGGGCUUCUAUAUGUUUAUAAACCUAUCGAUGUAUGUCUA
Molecule: unclassified non-coding RNA, 240 nt
Filed under: soil metagenome
Description: partial contains 5.8S ribosomal RNA, internal transcribed spacer 2, and large subunit ribosomal RNA
Source: RNAcentral